RNAcentral lists this ribosomal RNA (472 nucleotides) under uncultured bacterium. RNAcentral's name for it is "bacterial SSU rRNA". It matches the Rfam family "Bacterial small subunit ribosomal RNA", at positions 355 to 825 of the family's 1533-position model. The record is from RNAcentral.
UGGGGAAUUGUUCGCAAUGGGCGCAAGCCUGACGACGCAACGCCGCGUGGAGGAUGAAGACCUUCGGGUCGUAAACUCCUUUCGAUCGAGACGAAUGGCCCUUGGGCUAAUCACCAGGGGAAUGACGGUACCGAGAGAAUAAGCACCGGCUAACUUCGUGCCAGCAGCCGCGGUAAUACGAAGGGUGCAAGCGUUACUCGGAAUUACUGGGCGUAAAGCGUGCGUAGGUGGUCGUUUAAGUCCGUUGUGAAAGCCCUGGGCUCAACCUGGGAACUGCACUUGAAACUACGAUGCUCGAGUAUGGCAGAGGGAGGUGGAAUUCCACGUGUAGCGGUGAAAUGCGUAGAGAUGUGGAGGAACACCGAUGGCGAAGGCAGCCUCCUGGGCCAAUACUGACGCUCAUGCACGAAAGCGUGGGGAGCAAACAGGAUUAGAUACCCAUGUAGUCCCUGAGCGGGCUGGCAAGGCGCAU